Leopardus geoffroyi (Geoffroy's cat) is the source of this 657-nucleotide long non-coding RNA. RefSeq lists it as uncharacterized. The record is from RefSeq and is a predicted model, not a curated record. The transcript has 2 exons. Lineage: Eukaryota; Metazoa; Chordata; Mammalia; Carnivora; Felidae.
CAGAUGAGGAAACGGAAACUCAGAGGUGUGAGUUGACUUGCCUCGGGCCCCAGUUGGCAGAGACAAGACUGGAAGGGAAGUCUGACGCGAUCCCAUCCAGGACGCCAAGGACUUGGGGCUAUCUAUAGUCGUAGGCACACUAUGUUGCUGGUGCUUUUUAAAUGGGAAAUGUCGGGAGAGGUAUGCCUUGUGAAUGUUCAAUAACAAGUGAGUUAAGUUGGGUGACUAAGCCUAUUGCAGAGUCUGAACAUGAGAUGAAACCUGUAUGUGGGUAACAGUGGGACUGAAGAGGAAGCAACUGGCACUUUCAAGUGUUGAGUCAAGAUGUCCUAUGAGCAAGAUUUGGAGCACAGUGAAAGAGACAUCUUCCAAAGGAACAGAGUAGAGAUUGUUCCUGAAGGGUUUGAACAGCAUAAGCCUGAGGCAGAAAACAUAUGCUAUUGAAAAAUGGAUGUCUUUCUUUUGGAACUAAUGCUGGUGUUGGAUUUAUUCCCUCUUAUGAUUUACCUACCACCUGAAGGGAAAUUACCUUUUAUGAUGGUCGGAGGGGCACCUAGCUGUCUCAGCCUGCAGAGCAUGUGACUCUAAAUCUCAGGGUCGUGAGUUCAAGCCUCACAUUGGGCAUGGAGCCUACUUAAAAAAAAAAAAAAAAAGAAA